GUGUCAGCCGCCGCGGUAAUACAGAGGGUGCAAGCGUUAAUCGGACUUACUGGGCGUAAAGCGCGCGUAGGUGGCCAAUUAAGUCAAAUGUGAAAUCCCCGAGCUUAACUUGGGAAUUGCAUUCGAUACUGGUUGGCUAGAGUAUGGGAGAGGAUGGUAGAAUUCCAGGUGUAGCGGUGAAAUGCGUAGAGAUCUGGAGGAAUACCGAUGGCGAAGGCAGCCAUCUGGCCUAAUACUGACACUGAGGUGCGAAAGCAUGGGGAGCAAACAGGAUUAGAUACCCCCGUAGUCC
This 292-nucleotide ribosomal RNA is filed under the name uncultured prokaryote. RNAcentral describes it as "partial 16S ribosomal RNA". It matches the Rfam family "Bacterial small subunit ribosomal RNA", at positions 505 to 796 of the family's 1533-position model. The record is from RNAcentral.